This 67-nucleotide microRNA precursor is filed under the name Bombyx mori (domestic silkworm). Its description in RNAcentral is "mir-2774 microRNA precursor family". It matches the Rfam family "mir-2774 microRNA precursor family". The record is from Rfam by way of RNAcentral. Lineage: Eukaryota; Metazoa; Arthropoda; Insecta; Lepidoptera; Bombycidae.
AUAACAAUAGGACCGUCGGUCUACCGAGCAAUAUUACCAGCUCAGUGGAAGAUCUUCCCUUCCUCGU